RNA transcript from Abrus precatorius (Indian licorice), 1309 nucleotides. RefSeq lists it as uncharacterized. The record is from RefSeq and is a predicted model, not a curated record. Lineage: Eukaryota; Viridiplantae; Streptophyta; Magnoliopsida; Fabales; Fabaceae. The transcript is spliced from 4 exons.
GUUUUGUCUGUCUCUGUCUCCCUCCCCUCCACGCUCUCAUUCUUUCAUACCCAUUAGCCAAAACCAUAACUCUCUCUCUCUCUGCAAAUCCAAUUAACCAAACCCUCCAUUCAUUCCUUUCCCACACACAAACUCCAAAAGAAAAUAGAGAGAGAAAAAACAAAGUCUUACGCAAGAGUGUGUGUGAUCAUCGUUCAUCAAUGGCUAUGGGACCCGAAAGAUCGAAGCCACUACACAACUUCUCCUUACCCUGCUUGAAAUGGGGCACCCAACGUGUACUCAGAUGUGUCAACACCCACCACCCUUCUUCCCUCCAUCGCCGAUCCUCUCAAUUCCAAACACCUCACAACGUCAAAAACGACAACAACGUUGAUGUCGUUCCAGAAAACAUCAUCGGGGAUCUCACAGUUGCUGCCAAGAAGCUCAAAGUUUCAAUUUUUGAAGAUGGGGUUGAAGAAACUACUGCUUCUGUUGCCGUCAAUGUUAUGCCUUGGAAUUUGAGGACGCGAAGAGCUGCGUGCAAAGCUCCACCCCGUGAAGAAGAACGAAGGUUUUUUUAUGUUGGGUGUUCUUCACCUUCUUCCCAUUUGAAGGAGAAGAAGAAGGUGGUGGUUGUCAAUGAGAGAGCCAAGUUUUGUGUUUCUCUUUCUAAGGAAGAGGUCGAACAUGAUUUCUGGGCUUUGCUUGGAACUAGGCCCCCCAGAAGGCCCAAAAAGAGGCCCAGGGUUGUGCAGAGGCAAUUGGAUACUAUUUUUCCUGGCUUGUGGCUGUCUGAGAUCACUGCAGAAUCAUACAAAGUGCCUGAUGUUCCUGAAUGAGGUGAAGUUUGGGGAUGAAAUGAAUGGGAAAACUUUUUUCUGGAUGUUCCAGAUAUUUUUGCUUCCUGACUUCCUAUGUGAUAUAAAUAAUGCUCCAGAACAAAAAAAUAAAAUGAACGAAAAAUUAGUUGUUUUUCAAUUUGGAAAGCAACGCCAUUACUGAAGCGGUUUAAGAGAGUCCUUUCCAUGAGAGGCUUUAGGCUAGACCAGUUGCCCAAAAAGGAGCUGGUAAAAUUAGCACAUGCUGUUUUGUUGGUGAAAUUAGUUCAAAUUUUAUUCAGAAAAUACCUGCUAUGAUUGUCUUUCCAUGCAUGUAUUUUCUAUUUCCACAAGAGAAACCACAGCAGGAAAAUAUAUUUGGCUUUGUCUUCUAUUAUUUUCUUCACAGAACAUUCCAUUGAUGUUGAUUGCAUCUGAACAAGAGAAAAACUGUCACAGCCAAUAUCCCCAGCAAGAAUUUUUCUUGUAUAUAUUGUAUGUAUGAUUAUGAU